GUUUUUUUACAUGUUUAACUGCUAUAUCAUGUUCACAUGUUUGCAUUCAUCAUCUUUUUCAAUACAGAUUUAAUAUUAUCAUAAAAAACACUGAAGUAAGAAAGUGCAUAUCAUGAAAGCUUUUAUCUUAAUAUUUCAUCUAUUUUUCCCUCUCCUUUUUAUUCCUGACUUCCUGUUGGGGAUGACUUUAUUUAAAUACACAUUUGCCUACUCUCGAUGAAAUUGAAGUUUAUAAAUUGCUCAACCUUCAAUUUUGGCAAGCAGCUUUGGACAAAAUUAUGCUGUUGCUAAUCCUUUUAGGAGAAACAAUACAGAGUUUAAUUGCCAGUGGAUGAUUUGUCUAUUUGUAGCUGGUCACAGC
RNAcentral lists this unclassified non-coding RNA (361 nucleotides) under Hevea brasiliensis (rubber tree). Lineage: Eukaryota; Viridiplantae; Streptophyta; Magnoliopsida; Malpighiales; Euphorbiaceae. The record is from RNAcentral.